UUAAGCGACUAAGCGUACACGGUGGAUGCCCUGGCAGUCAGAGGCGAUGAAGGACGUGCUAAUCUGCGAAAAGCGUCGGUAAGGUGAUAUGAACCGUUAUAGCCGGCGAUGUCCGAAUGGGGAAACCCAGUGCAAUUCGUUGCACUAUCGUUAACUGAAUACAUAGGUUAACGAGGCGAACCGGGGGAACUGAAACAUCUAAGUACCCCGAGGAAAAGAAAUCAACCGAGAUUCCCCCAGUAGCGGCGAGCGAACGGGGAGCAGCCCAGAGUCUGAAUCAGCUUGUGUGUUAGUGGAACGGUCUGGAAAGUCCGACGGUACAGGGUGAUAGUCCCGUACACCAAAAUGCACAGGUUGUGAACUCGAAGAGUAGGGCGGGACACGUGGUAUCCUGUCUGAAUAUGGGGGGACCAUCCUCCAAGGCUAAAUACUCCUGACUGACCGAUAGUGAACCAGUACCGUGAGGGAAAGGCGAAAAGAACCCCGGCGAGGGGAGUGAAAAAGAACCUGAAACCGUGUACGUACAAGCAGUGGGAGCACCUUCGGGUGUGACUGCGUACCUUUUGUAUAAUGGGUCAGCGACUUAUAUUCUGUAGCAAGGUUAACCGUAUAGGGGAGCCGCAGGGAAACCGAGUCUUAACUGGGCGUUAAGUUGCAGGGUAUAGACCCGAAACCCGGUGAUCUAGCCAUGGGCAGGUUGAAGGUUGGGUAACACUAACUGGAGGACCGAACCGACUAAUGUUGAAAAAUUAGCGGAUGACUUGUGGCUGGGGGUGAAAGGCCAAUCAAACCGGGAGAUAGCUGGUUCUCCCCGAAAGCUAUUUAGGUAGCGCCUCGUGAAUUCAUCUUCGGGGGUAGAGCACUGUUUCGGCUAGGGGGUCAUCCCGACUUACCAACCCGAUGCAAACUACGAAUACCGAAGAAUGUUAUCACGGGAGACACACGGCGGGUGCUAACGUCCGUCGUGAAGAGGGAAACAACCCAGACCGCCAGCUAAGGUCCCAAAGUCAUGGUUAAGUGGGAAACGAUGUGGGAAGGCACAGACAGCCAGGAUGUUGGCUUAGAAGCAGCCAUCAUUUAAAGAAAGCGUAAUAGCUCACUGGUCGAGUCGGCCUGCGCGGAAGAUGUAACGGGGCUAAACCAUGCACCGAAGCUGCGGCAGCGACACUAUGUGUUGUUGGGUAGGGGAGCGUUCUGUAAGCCUGCGAAGGUGUGCUGUGAGGCAUGCUGGAGGUAUCAGAAGUGCGAAUGCUGACAUAAGUAACGAUAAAGCGGGUGAAAAGCCCGCUCGCCGGAAGACCAAGGGUUCCUGUCCAACGUUAAUCGGGGCAGGGUGAGUCGACCCCUAAGGCGAGGCCGAAAGGCGUAGUCGAUGGGAAACAGGUUAAUAUUCCUGUACUUGGUGUUACUGCGAAGGGGGGACGGAGAAGGCUAUGUUAGCCGGGCGACGGUUGUCCCGGUUUAAGCAUGUAGGCUGGUUGUCCAGGCAAAUCCGGAUAAUCAAGGCUGAGGUGUGAUGACGAGGCACUACGGUGCUGAAGUAACAAAUGCCCUGCUUCCAGGAAAAGCCUCUAAGCAUCAGGUAACAUUAAAUCGUACCCCAAACCGACACAGGUGGUCAGGUAGAGAAUACCAAGGCGCUUGAGAGAACUCGGGUGAAGGAACUAGGCAAAAUGGUGCCGUAACUUCGGGAGAAGGCACGCUGGUGUGUAGGUGAAGUCCCUGCGGAUGGAGCUGAGACCAGUCGAAGAUACCAGCUGGCUGCAACUGUUUAUUAAAAACACAGCACUGUGCAAACACGAAAGUGGACGUAUACGGUGUGACGCCUGCCCGGUGCCGGAAGGUUAAUUGAUGGGGUUAUCCGUAAGGAGAAGCUCUUGAUCGAAGCCCCGGUAAACGGCGGCCGUAACUAUAACGGUCCUAAGGUAGCGAAAUUCCUUGUCGGGUAAGUUCCGACCUGCACGAAUGGCGUAAUGAUGGCCAGGCUGUCUCCACCCGAGACUCAGUGAAAUUGAACUCGCUGUGAAGAUGCAGUGUACCCGCGGCAAGACGGAAAGACCCCGUGAACCUUUACUAUAGCUUGACACUGAACAUUGAGCCUUGAUGUGUAGGAUAGGUGGGAGGCUUUGAAGCGUGGACGCCAGUCUGCGUGGAGCCAACCUUGAAAUACCACCCUUUAAUGUUUGAUGUUCUAACGUUGGCCCCUUACCGGGGUUGCGGACAGUGUCUGGUGGGUAGUUUGACUGGGGCGGUCUCCUCCCAAAGCGUAACGGAGGAGCACGAAGGUUAGCUAAUCCUGGUCGGACAUCAGGAGGUUAGUGCAAUGGCAUAAGCUAGCUUGACUGCGAGCGUGACGGCGCGAGCAGGUGCGAAAGCAGGUCAUAGUGAUCCGGUGGUUCUGAAUGGAAGGGCCAUCGCUCAACGGAUAAAAGGUACUCCGGGGAUAACAGGCUGAUACCGCCCAAGAGUUCAUAUCGACGGCGGUGUUUGGCACCUCGAUGUCGGCUCAUCACAUCCUGGGGCUGAAGUAGGUCCCAAGGGUAUGGCUGUUCGCCAUUUAAAGUGGUACGCGAGCUGGGUUUAGAACGUCGUGAGACAGUUCGGUCCCUAUCUGCCGUGGGCGCUGGAGAAUUGAGGGGGGCUGCUCCUAGUACGAGAGGACCGGAGUGGACGCAUCACUGGUGUUCGGGUUGUCAUGCCAAUGGCACUGCCCGGUAGCUAAAUGCGGAAGAGAUAAGUGCUGAAAGCAUCUAAGCACGAAACUUGCCCCGAGAUGAGUUCUCCCUGAGACUUUAAGUCUCCUGAAGGAACGUUAAAGACGAUGACGUUGAUAGGCCGGGUGUGUAAGCGCAGCGAUGCGUUGAGCUAACCGGUACUAAUGAACCGUGAGGCUUAACCUU
Molecule: ribosomal RNA, 2900 nt
Filed under: Klebsiella pneumoniae
Lineage: Bacteria; Pseudomonadati; Pseudomonadota; Gammaproteobacteria; Enterobacterales; Enterobacteriaceae
Description: bacterial LSU rRNA
Rfam family: Bacterial large subunit ribosomal RNA
Source: RNAcentral